Molecule: non-coding RNA, 196 nt
Organism: Pelobates cultripes (western spadefoot toad)
Lineage: Eukaryota; Metazoa; Chordata; Amphibia; Anura; Pelobatidae
Source: the annotation of a GenBank genome assembly
CUCGCUAUCGCCGGCCUUUACAAGAUCAAGUGUAGUAUCUGUUCUUAUCAGUUUAAUAUCUGAUACGCCCCCUAUCUGGGGACCAUAUAAUAUUAAAUGGAUUUUUGGGACAGGGGAGAUGAAGAAGAGCUGUUUCCCCUGGUUCACCCACGCAUUGACCUGGUAUUGCAGUACCUCCAGGACCGGUGCACCUCUC